RNA transcript from Ostrinia nubilalis (European corn borer), 2238 nucleotides. It is a transcript of the gene named venom prothrombin activator notecarin-D2-like, with no coding region annotated. The record is from RefSeq and is a predicted model, not a curated record. Lineage: Eukaryota; Metazoa; Arthropoda; Insecta; Lepidoptera; Crambidae. The transcript has 6 exons.
UACAAAUAUGAGGGGUUUAAUAUUUUACAAAUUAAAAUAAAACCGCAUGUUGCUUUACUUUCUCGUAUAGGUAAUAAAUGUAAUUAAUGGCUAGAUUAUUAAUGUUACUUUGUUACCCUCAAUAGUGAGGAAAUCUUAUAAAAUGGUAACCCUGAUUUUUAUUGUCAUUCAAGUGCUCUUUCUUCGCAUAGGCUUCUGUGAUUUGGCCAAGGGCCACACACAUUGCGAUAACAUUAUACGACAUUGAUUUGACAGCAGCGGAGUGAAGUCUUGCGACUAUGCAAAAUGAUACCCUGUAAUCGUAGCGCAUACAGACAUAGACUGGGCGGGGCACAUAGCUCGUAGAGCUGACAGAAGAGCAGACAGACUGAAGCUGACUUUCCUGGCCGCUGGGGCAGGAAAGUUCUUGAGUGGCGACCACGAGCCGAAAGACGUAGCGUGGGCAGGCCUCCCACUAGGUGGACCGACGAUCUGGUGAAGGUCGCGGGAGGUGCCUGUAUGCGAGCGGUGCAGGAUCGGUCUUCGUGGAAAUCCUUGGGGGAGGCCUUUGUCCAGCAGUGGACGUCUUUUCGGCUGAAACGAACGAACGAACGAUACGUAUUACCACUAUUUACCAGACAUUACUAUUUAUUGCAUACUCGCCGGAUUACACGUAGGAGCACGCGCGUAACAGCUUCGGCCUUGCAUUAUUAUAAGAUCUUGUUCCGCCCUUUUACGAACUUCCUCCGUGAGGAUAUCCCCGCCGAAUUCUAUGAUGAACCUAUCAAAAGUCAUAUUCUGCAAUGUCAACCCACCACAAGGUGGACCGACGACCUGAUAAAGGUAGCGGGAAGGCGCUGGAUGCAGGCCGCUACCAACCGUGCGAUGUGGAAGUCAUUGGGGGAGGCCUAUGUUCAGUAGUGGACGUCCUGUGGCUGAAAUGAUGAUGAUGAUGAAGAAAUGAAUGAAAAUGACAAAUCUUCGCACGUGUAUAAUACCGUGCCAAAGUAAUCAUAUAAUUUUGGCACCUUAAUAACUAUUGCCGUUUUUGUUGUAAAGAUCAUGCAGCGCUACUUGCGGAUAUUAUUGGAAAGAAAACUAUGUGGGCUCUAGAUCUGAAGCCGCUUUAACGAACACGAAGUGCUCAUACAAUGCGGCGUAUUUUCUUCCAGUCUUUAGUCAGGACUUUAGUCGAAUUAAAACCCCGGUUGAACGUGAUAUAGCCGCACUAGAAUACGAUGCUUUUUUGCAUAAUCGCAAGACUUCGUUCCGGUGUCGACCGAAUGUUAUCAUGAUGUAUGUGGCCCAGGGGUUACCGUAGCCGCUAAGGUUUGAAACUUCUUGCUUAAAAUAUUGUAGUCUUUGGCAUAGACUACGAUGGUAGUCAUGGAGAUAGGAGUUUGUUAUCUCGUGUCAGAUGUAAAUGGUGAAAAGAAAACUCAUGAUUCGUGGUAUUUUUAUGUAAUAUGUAGGCUUCAAACAGCGGUACAGCCGUCACAGCAAAGUGUACGACACAUUUUGCGGCGGUAGUAUCAUUGCCCCUUCGAAGUUGGUCUCCGCAGCCCACUGCUUUGACCACAAUAAAAAAUCGGGUUGUUUCACUGAAACUAUAAUAUUAAGCACCAAAGAAGUGGGGGUGUAUUUUGCUGUGGCGGGUACUCUCGUCAGUAAAGAAAGGUACCGACCUCAAGACAAUCCCUCAGGCGCGCAAUGGAGAAGGCUAAAAAACGUUAUCUACCCUUCAGGCUACGAUUUUCCAGAACAUGACGUCGCGGUUGUGACGACAUUACAGCCAUUUGUUUUCAACGCACACAUCGCCCCGAUUCCGUUCGCCAAGCGCUGGCGCGACUACCGGGGGGAAUGUGUGGCUUCAGGCUUUGGACUGAUAAGUCAUAUACCUGAGAUAGAUUCCUCAAAGUUAAUGAUAGCCAAGUUAGAGUUGGUACCAAAUUAUUGGUGUAGCAAGAAAUUAAGCGCCGACAUGAAGACAUUCGUCUGCACUUCAGGAGUGAAAACGGAUGUUGGGAAGGGUGAUUCAGGCGGCCCGUUAGUGUGUGCUGGUACUGGAGAGAAAUCUGAAGGACCGAAUGGCAUUUUGGUAGGCAUUGCUUGUGCGAAUAUCUUAAAAAGGAGUAUCGGCGGCUCCAUCUUCACUAGAACAUCUACUUACACACGUUUUAUAGACAAAAAUGAAGCUAAUAGUUCUCCAUUCAUGUUUUUUUAUUAUUAUUUUAUUAUAUUUGUUCAUUGUUUACAUUA